RNAcentral lists this transfer RNA (73 nucleotides) under Megavirus baoshan. RNAcentral's name for it is "tRNA-Arg". It matches the Rfam family "tRNA". Rfam says of the family: Transfer RNA (tRNA) molecules are approximately 80 nucleotides in length. The record is from RNAcentral. Lineage: Varidnaviria; Bamfordvirae; Nucleocytoviricota; Megaviricetes; Imitervirales; Mimiviridae.
GGUCGGUUAGCUGAAUUGGUAAAGCAAUCAUCUGCGGAGUGAAAGGUUACUGGUUCAAAUCCAGUACUGAUAU